This 695-nucleotide long non-coding RNA is filed under the name Castor canadensis (American beaver). RNAcentral's name for it is "lncRNA (ENSCCNG00000011725.1)". The record is from RNAcentral. Lineage: Eukaryota; Metazoa; Chordata; Mammalia; Rodentia; Castoridae.
UGAUACCUCCACUGCUGCAGGCUGAAACCAUAGGCUGAUGAAGAAGGGGACAAUCAAAGGCAUUUCUGCAUGUCUUCCAGUAUUGUGCAAAUGUGAGACUGGAAGAAUAUGACCCUUGGCACACCAAGAAUUUUCUCAGCACACUGAGCACACAUGAAAGCAGAAUGUUCUGGUUUGUCCACUUUCUCGGAAGCUUUAAGAGACAGGCUUUAAUAAGUAACAUAUAAGUAGAGCAGUGUUUUUCAAAUCACUUCUUGUUUUGCUCAUUCGGAUAAACAUCCAUCAUUGCUACGUGCUUUUGUCAACAAAUAAAUAUGAGGAGAAACAAGGACUUGGGCUGCGGUUUCAGAAACCCAGUUCUCUGGCUCCUAACACACUCUCAUUUCUGGUGGCCUGUUCUUUCCCAGCUCUGAUCAGCAACAUUUGGCAUAGUCGGUAAGAUCAAAGAGGCAGAGAGACAGCUUCAUCAGAUACCAAAAGGGAAAACGGCUGCUCAGAGCUACUACUGGACAUAUCAACACCAGGAGACACCACAACUGCUCCAAGAAUCCUCUGGGAUCCCACUCAGCACCAGAGGCUCAUGUCUGUAAUCUUAGCUACUCAAGAGGCAGCUAUCAAGAGGAAUAAUGGUUCAAAGCCAGUCCAGGUAAAUAGUUCACAAGAUCCUGCCUUAAAAAUAUCCAAUACACACACAA